UGAAGCAGCAUACAGUAUCCGGGUUGGUAAGGAAAUCAUUGAUCUGUUUAGAGGAAUGGUUUGUCCCUCUGCCCUCUACUUGAGGCGUGUGGAACAUACCUGGAUCUAGUUCUGCUGUGCUUGCGGAAUUUCUUACUGGCCAGUUGGACCACUGCAGACAACAACAUUCACAAUACUCAUUCGCAAUACCCUCUGUCUUGUAUAUGUUGCUAUUGUGACGGGAGCACUGUUGCCAGGAUACAUCAUUUACUGGGCAGGAUUAUAAGUGUGUGAUGGCGUUUCCGAAAGUGCGUCCCCGGGGCUCCGAGGAUGCUGCACAUGUGGUGAUAUUUGAUUAUUUAAAGAAAUGAACGUCAGAGUUUCAAGCAGUUGCUGAAGUUCCUGUGCUGUUGCUGGUCCGAUGAAUUAUAUAUUUGUGGAUAAUUAUUCAAGGGCUUGCAAAACACAUAGCAAUGUGUGGGCCUUUUGCUGAAUUUGGAUAAAAAUUUGCGGACUCCUUCAGAUUGCAAUGCUUAAUAUCACUUA
This is a long non-coding RNA of Pseudophryne corroboree (corroboree frog), 525 nucleotides long. RefSeq lists it as uncharacterized. NCBI's taxonomy places the organism in Eukaryota, Metazoa, Chordata, Amphibia, Anura, Myobatrachidae. The transcript has 4 exons. The record is from RefSeq and is a predicted model, not a curated record.